RNAcentral lists this small nuclear RNA (107 nucleotides) under Callithrix jacchus (white-tufted-ear marmoset). The record is from RNAcentral. Lineage: Eukaryota; Metazoa; Chordata; Mammalia; Primates; Cebidae.
GUGCUAACCUUGGUAGCAUACAUAUUAAAAUUAGAAUGAUACAGAGAAGAUUAGCAUGGCCCCUGCAAAAGGAUGACAUGUAAAUUCAUAAGACAGUCCAUAUUUUU